This 32-nucleotide ribosomal RNA is filed under the name Trichoderma atroviride. RNAcentral describes it as "partial 18S ribosomal RNA". The record is from RNAcentral. Lineage: Eukaryota; Fungi; Ascomycota; Sordariomycetes; Hypocreales; Hypocreaceae.
GGUGAACCAGCGGAGGGAUCAUUACCGAGUUU